ACCGUUGAAUGUAGUAUUUGAAGAUUAUUUUUUUUAAAAAAAUUAAUAUUUAAAAAAAUGUUGUUUUAUAAUUAUUCUAUUAUCAGCAGCCAUAUUACAUUAAUAUUAAGCUUAAAUCAAAGGCAUCGAUUGGAACGAUUUAGAAUCCAAGUAUAGAAAAUACAGUUGGGCCUCCCGCUCACCUGGUGAAUGGGUUUGAAGAGGAGUGAUUUGCUGUGGCAUAAGUUGAGAUGGUAUGGAAGAGGGGUGGCCGAACUCAAGGUUGGAAGGUUGGAACAGUCUCUUCUCCGAGGAUGGGAGGUGCUAAUCUGUGCAGAGUUGGAGCUCUAUUCAGCAAUAAUUUCAUGGGUGGGUGCUGCUGCUUACCAGAGAACCUAGUAAGAAGGAUCGCCUUCUUCAAACUCCGUGUUAAGCAUUAAGCGAGAGCCAGACAUGAUUCAGAAGAGUUCUGGAAGUUCAAGGGCUUGGAUUCAAGUGCGAGGAUUGGUUUGGAUCAACUGGUGUUGACGUUUCUUGAGUUCCAGGUGGAACUUUUUUCCAAUACUUAUUUUUCAGGGAAAAUGAGGCCAAUUCAAGAAUGACAUUAAAUUACCCAAUUUUAGCAUUAGAAAACCUUUGAGAUCUUAUGGUUUGGAAAUGGGUACAACUUGAAAUAUGAUCUUCUAUGCAAUUGCUUUUA
Vitis vinifera (wine grape) is the source of this 679-nucleotide long non-coding RNA. RefSeq lists it as uncharacterized. The record is from RefSeq and is a predicted model, not a curated record. The transcript is spliced from 2 exons. NCBI's taxonomy places the organism in Eukaryota, Viridiplantae, Streptophyta, Magnoliopsida, Vitales, Vitaceae.